This 88-nucleotide transfer RNA is filed under the name Candidatus Kaiserbacteria bacterium RIFCSPHIGHO2_02_FULL_56_30. Its description in RNAcentral is "tRNA-Ser". It matches the Rfam family "tRNA". Rfam says of the family: Transfer RNA (tRNA) molecules are approximately 80 nucleotides in length. Their secondary structure includes four short double-helical elements and three loops (D, anti-codon, and T loops). Further hydrogen bonds mediate the characteristic L-shaped molecular structure. tRNAs have two regions of fundamental functional importance: the anti-codon, which is responsible for specific mRNA codon recognition, and the 3' end, to which the tRNAs corresponding amino acid is attached (by aminoacyl-tRNA synthetases). tRNAs cope with the degeneracy of the genetic code in two manners: having more than one tRNA (with a specific anti-codon) for a particular amino acid; and 'wobble' base-pairing, i.e. permitting non-standard base-pairing at the 3rd anti-codon position. RNAcentral also lists the same sequence under 2 other names. Lineage: Bacteria; Candidatus Kaiseribacteriota. The record is from RNAcentral.
GGAGGGGUCGCAUAGCGGUUUAGUGCACCGGUCUUGAAAACCGGAGUACCGCAAGGUACCGUGAGUUCGAAUCUCACCCCCUCCGCCA